This is a long non-coding RNA of Podarcis muralis (Common wall lizard), 1074 nucleotides long. RefSeq lists it as uncharacterized. The record is from RefSeq and is a predicted model, not a curated record. Lineage: Eukaryota; Metazoa; Chordata; Lepidosauria; Squamata; Lacertidae.
AAAAGCGCGAUGCUUUUGCUAUUAUUUUUUAUGAUUCAAUGACUCGUUUAUUGGACAUGCUGAUUGAAUUUAAAAGCGGGAGGGGAAACCCAACCACCGGCCCCUCGGCCAAGUGAAUCCAUUCGCCCUGACAGUUUGCUGGCAGAGGAAGCGAAAAGCUGCGCGCAGCGCGUUUGGGGUGGCGAGAGGAGUUUUUAUUUCGCCCUUCUGCAAUAAGCACCAAGUCCACGUGUCACUUUUUUCAGCGUCUCCUCUUCCUGUGUGGGGAUUUCUGCAGGAAGUCUCGCCGCAGAAGGUCGAGGCUGCUCGGGGGCGAUGCUUGCAAAAGGAGGAGCCCGGGAGAGACGCGUUUGCAGACAGAUGCAGAAGUCAGAAAAGGCCAAGGUCUCGCCGGAGGCGGAGAUAUUUCAAGAAUCAGGAAAUCUCUGGAGCAUUUGCUAUGGUGCAUCGUAACAAGUUCAAUAAGAAAAUAAAAUGGUGUAAUAAUUUAGAUGGAAGCCAGAAACAGAUGGAAGCGAGCAACACUACGGAACAUAUUCCUCAUAAACACCACAGGUUGCGUCCAACGCUGCGUUGCAAGCUGAAUGUAUUUUUGUUUGUGAAGCAGAACUUCCUCCUUCCCCCUGCAGCAUGCUGCACUGCCCUCAAGUUCUGUUCCAGAGCAAUGGAAAAAAGUAGGUCUAUAACCCAAUUAAAUAUGUCUUAAGACUAUAAAACUCAUACAAUUAAAUCAAUUAAAUUUUCAUAUAAGUAAAAAAAAGUUAUCAUCACCAGCCAUGCACACGUGUUUGCCUUUUAAGAUAGUGCUCAUCAUACAUUUUAGUAUUUGCUUUUUUAAAAAAUGAAAUUUACUCUAAUUAUCACUUUUUAGGUCAUAAAAAUAUCACUUGAUUAAACUAAACAUUGCCACACACAAAAUCAUUAUGCAAAUCACCACAACUUGAUAUAUAAAGGUCUCAGAAAUGAAAAUCUUCUUGAUAUGAAAUUCGAACCUGGUUGAGGAAUAUUAAUAUUAUUUCAAGGGUACACACAACCCUGCCUCCUCUACAGUGAUGGUUAGCAGUUACUAAGUGU